This 1195-nucleotide ribosomal RNA is filed under the name uncultured bacterium. RNAcentral's name for it is "bacterial SSU rRNA". It matches the Rfam family "Bacterial small subunit ribosomal RNA", at positions 220 to 1444 of the family's 1533-position model. The record is from RNAcentral.
UUGGGAGGGGCUUGCGACCUAUCAGGUAGUUGGUGGGGUAAUGGCCUACCAAGCCUAAGACGGGUAGCCGGUGUGAGAGCACGAUCGGCCAGAGGGGGACUGAGACACGGCCCCCACUCCUACGGGAGGCAGCAGCAGGGAAUCUUGCGCAAUGGGCGAAAGCCUGACGCAGCGACACCGCGUGGGGGAAGAAGGCCUUCGGGUUGUAAACCCCUUUUCCCGGGGAAGAGUAAGGACGGUACCCGGGGAAUAAGGUUCGGCUAACUACGUGCCAGCAGCCGCGGUAAUACGUAGGAACCGAGCGUUGUCCGGAUUUACUGGGCGUAAAGUGCGCGUAGGCGGUUUGUUAAGUCUCAUGUGAAAUCUCCCGGCUCAACUGGGAGGGGUCAUGGGAAACUGGCAGGCUUGAGGGCAGCAGAGGAAAGCGGAAUUCCCGGAGUAGUGGUGAAAUGCGUAGAUACCGGGAGGAACACCAGAGGCGAAGGCGGCUUUCUGGGCUAUUCCUGACGCUGAGGCGCGAAAGCGUGGGGAGCAAACCGGAUUAGAUACCCGGGUAGUCCACGCCCUAAACGAUGGAUACUAGAUAUGGGGGGUAUCGACCCCUCCCGUGUCGCAGCUAACGCAUUAAGUAUCCCGCCUGAGGAGUACGGCCGCAAGGCUAAAACUCAAAAGAAUUGACGGGGACCCGCACAAGCAGCGGAGCGUGUGGUUUAAUUCGAUGAUAAGCGAAGAACCUUACCAGGGCUUGACAUGCUUUUGAAAUUCCCGUGAAAGCGGGGACCUCCUUCGGGACAGUUGCACAGAUGUUGCAUGGCUGUCGUCAGCUCGUGCCGUGAGGUGUUGGGUUAAGUCCCGCAACGAGCGCAACCCCUGUCGUUAGUUAGAAUGUCUAGCGAGACUGCCCCUGAACAGGGUGAGGAAGGUGGGGACGACGUCAAGUCAUCAUGGCUCUUACGUCCUGGGCUACACACACGCUACAAUGGCCGAUACAAAGGGUCGCCAAGGAGCGAUCCGGAGCUAAUCCCAUAAAGCCGCCCCCAGUUGGGAUUGCAGGCUGCAACUCGCCUGCAUGAACGUGGAGUUGCUAGUAACCGCAGGUCAGCACACUGCGGUGAAUACGUUCUCGGGUCUUGUACACACCGCCCGUCACGUCAUGGAAGUCGGCAACACUUGAAGUCGCUGGGCUAACCCCGAU